UACGUAGGGGGCAAGCGUUGUCCGGAAUCAUUGGGCGUAAAGCGCGUGUAGGCGGUUCGAUAAGUCUGCUGUGAAAGUCCAGGGCUCAACCCUGGGAUGCCGGUGGAUACUGUCGGGCUAGAGUCCGGAAGAGGCGAGUGGAAUUCCUGGUGUAGCGGUGAAAUGCGCAGAUAUCAGGAGGAACACCUACGGCGAAGGCAGCUCGCUGGGACGGUACUGACGCUGAGACGCGAAAGCGUGGGGAGCAAACAGG
Molecule: ribosomal RNA, 253 nt
Filed under: uncultured bacterium
Lineage: Bacteria
Description: partial 16S ribosomal RNA
Rfam family: Bacterial small subunit ribosomal RNA
Source: RNAcentral